This 213-nucleotide unclassified non-coding RNA is filed under the name Dactylella sp. RNAcentral describes it as "partial internal transcribed spacer 2". Lineage: Eukaryota; Fungi; Ascomycota; Orbiliomycetes; Orbiliales; Orbiliaceae. The record is from RNAcentral.
CGCACAUUGCGCCUAUAGGUAUUCCUUUAGGCAUGUCCUUUUGAGGGGCUUAUCACCAUAGCAAAAUGCUGUGUUGGACUAAACCGUCAUCCGGUUGGUCUAAAAACGAGUGCGCGACGCAGCGAACAGAUCUCGCUCAAGUCGUUGCAAAAUUUACGGCCUUUAGGCUAAUUCGUUUGCCCUCAGAGAGACAAGAUUACCCGCUGAACUUAA